This 272-nucleotide ribosomal RNA is filed under the name uncultured bacterium. RNAcentral's name for it is "partial 16S ribosomal RNA". It matches the Rfam family "Bacterial small subunit ribosomal RNA", at positions 333 to 600 of the family's 1533-position model. The record is from RNAcentral.
GAACCACGGGGGGCAGCAGUGGGGAAUAUUGCGCAAUGGGCGAAAGCCUGACGCAGCGACGCCGCGUGAGGGAUGAAGGUCUUCGGAUCGUAAACCUCUGUCAGCAGGGAAGAACGGUCACUGUGCUAAUCAGCAGUGAAUUGACGGUACCUGCAAAGGAAGCACCGGCUAACUCCGUGCCAGCAGCCGCGGUGAUACGGAGGGUGCGCGCGUUAAUCGGAAUUACUGGGCGUAAAGCGCCCGUAGGCGGCAUGUCAAGUCAAGGGUGGAAU